GAUGAACGCUGGCGGCGUGCCUAAUACAUGCAAGUCGAGCGAACAGAUAAGGAGCUUGCUCCUUUGACGUUAGCGGCGGACGGGUGAGUAACACGUGGGUAACCUACCUAUAAGACUGGGAUAACUUCGGGAAACCGGAGCUAAUACCGGAUAACAUUUGGAACCGCAUGGUUCUAAAGUGAAAGAUGGUUUUGCUAUCACUUAUUGAUGGACCCGCGCCGUAUUAGCUAGUUGGUAAGGUAACGGCUUACCAAGGCGACGAUACGUAGCCGACCUGAGAGGGUGAUCGGCCACACUGGAACUGAGACACGGUCCAGACUCCUACGGGAGGCAGCAGUAGGGAAUCUUCCGCAAUGGGCGAAAGCCUGACGGAGCAACGCCGCGUGAGUGAUGAAGGGUUUCGGCUCGUAAAACUCUGUUAUUAGGGAAGAACAAAUGUGUAAGUAACUGUGCACGUCUUGACGGUACCUAAUCAGAAAGCCACGGCUAACUACGUG
Molecule: ribosomal RNA, 497 nt
Filed under: uncultured bacterium
Lineage: Bacteria
Description: partial 16S ribosomal RNA
Rfam family: Bacterial small subunit ribosomal RNA
Source: RNAcentral